AGAGUUUGAUUAUGGCUCAGGAUGAACGCUGGCGGCGUGCUUAACACAUGCAAGUCGAACGAAGCCAAAAGGAAGCUUGCUUCUUGAAGCUUAGUGGCGGACGGGUGAGUAACGCGUGAGUAACCUGCCCUUCAGUGGGGAAUAACACAGAGAAAUCUGUGCUAAUACCGCAUAACGUCUUCUUGCCGCAUGACAGGAAGACCAAAGGAUUUAUUCGCUGAAGGAUGGACUCGCGUCCGAUUAGCUAGUUGGUGAGGUAACGGCCCACCAAGGCGACGAUCGGUAGCCGAACUGAGAGGUUGAUCGGCCACAUUGGGACUGAGACACGGCCCAGACUCCUACGGGAGGCAGCAGUGGGGAAUAUUGGGCAAUGGGCGAAAAAGCCUGACCCAGCAACGCCGCGUGAAGGAAGACGGUCUUCGGAUUGUAAACUUCUUUGAUUGGGGAAGAAACAAAUGACCUACCCAAAGAACAAGUCACGGCUAACUACGUGCCAGCCGCCGC
This 504-nucleotide ribosomal RNA is filed under the name uncultured bacterium. RNAcentral describes it as "bacterial SSU rRNA". It matches the Rfam family "Bacterial small subunit ribosomal RNA", at positions 8 to 518 of the family's 1533-position model. The record is from RNAcentral.